UCAAUCUCAAGGACUGCGUAUUAAUAUCGAGUUCGAAUAAUUAUUAAAUUAAAGAAAAACUAGUGUUGGGGGGUUUUAGAUUCAAAUUUAUAAAAAUAAUGACAAAUAAAAUAAAUAAUGCUGUAAAAAGGGUUUUCAAGGUAAAAGAACAUGCCAGGGAAGGUGUGUAAUUUGUCCCUGUAACAACUCUGUGUCACUAUUGCAUCAACAAAUAUCAAUUAAUUACUACCAGUUCUCAAAGGUAUUUUCUCCCAAGGCCUUGGUGAGAAAAUG
This 273-nucleotide long non-coding RNA is filed under the name Lathyrus oleraceus (garden pea). RNAcentral's name for it is "Pisum sativum (pea) long non-coding RNA (PSAT_LNC024599)". Lineage: Eukaryota; Viridiplantae; Streptophyta; Magnoliopsida; Fabales; Fabaceae. The record is from RNAcentral.